Molecule: non-coding RNA, 32 nt
Filed under: Geobacter sulfurreducens KN400
Lineage: Bacteria; Pseudomonadati; Thermodesulfobacteriota; Desulfuromonadia; Geobacterales; Geobacteraceae
Source: RNAcentral
CAGAAACAGUCAUGAGAUACUGAAUAGGAAAG